Molecule: long non-coding RNA, 263 nt
Organism: Schistocerca cancellata (South American locust)
Lineage: Eukaryota; Metazoa; Arthropoda; Insecta; Orthoptera; Acrididae
Exons: 3
Source: RefSeq, a predicted model, not a curated record
GUGACUUUUGUGAAGAGCUGCAGUUAAAAAUGGAGGAAACUGGUGUUGUAGAAAGACUCGUCUUCCGCAGUUAAGCCCCUGUCCAUGUACUAAAUACACUGAAGGCAACAGGUUCACCAAAAGCUGGUCUCAUUGCAAGAAAUAACUUUAUUAAAAAGUGUGAAAACUUGGCUUCAUUAUUCCUUGGAUUGAAGUUCACUGAUCGUGCUGAUAUGGAAGUGUUAUCCAACUACAUAAAGGACUUCAUAGUGUCUAAUAGACUU